UGGACUUACAUGUGCGUUUGUUUAACUUGUGGACAAGUACUUACAGACAGGUGCAAACAAUAAAUCUCCUUUUGCAACCAAGAACUUGUUCAGUAUGAGUUUUGAUACAUAUAAGAAAGGCUAUU
This is a small nucleolar RNA of Nomascus leucogenys (northern white-cheeked gibbon), 125 nucleotides long. Lineage: Eukaryota; Metazoa; Chordata; Mammalia; Primates; Hylobatidae. The record is from Ensembl.